CUCUCUCACUCUCCCUCUCGACCCUCUACCAAUCUACCCCCAAAUUCUAAUCUAACACUUUUAUUUUUCAUUUACCCAUCUCUUUCCCUGACUCUCUCUCUCUCUCUCUCCCCUCAAAUUGUUUCUCUCUGUCCUCUGUUCUCCUAAUCUCUUUUCUCAGAAUUUUCCUAAAACUCAUUGCCGGCUCUCACUAGCUCUCAUCCUCCCAAUCUCUUUUCUUUUGAUUUUUCAAAUUUAUGUUGAUUAUGGUGGAUCCUAACUCAAUAUCAUGAAAUUGCUUCGAAUUCUGUUGAUUGCAUGUUGGUCGAUUGAAGGAUUUUAGGACAAUCAUCACUCACUCUAUUGUGCUUGAAAUUAGAGGUAUGUUUAUAUACUCAUUAAUUCCUAUUAAUUAGAUGUAUAUUCAUCCAUUUUGAAUGUCGACUUUAUCAAAUCCAAAGGAACAAGGAGCAAAAGAGGCUUGAUUUUUGUUGGGCAUUUUGCUGCAAUCAUUAUUAGCUUGUACCCCUUUACCAUUUUGAUCAUCAAAAUUCCAUAGCCACCCCGAUAAACCAUCCAUGAGAAUAUUGGUGUCCGACCAUGAAUCCGCUUCUUGAUAUAGCAACUGGCAAUUAUGGAUUUUCCAUUAUUAGAUGUAGCGGUACCGCUGGAAUUUCUUGCUGGGUUUGUAUUUGGGGAGAGAAAAGGGAUUAUGGGCAAUCGAAUAUGUUAAUAAGUUAGUUAAUUAACAUAAUAACAUUUAUAUGGUUGAGUCAGACUGUAGAGAAAAAUGAUGAAGCAACAAAUGACAAUACCACCAAAUCUUUAAGGUGUUCUUUACCGAAAGAAAUUAUAAAAGAAAAAGAAAACCAAGUCUUUGAGGUGUGUAGGCUUCUGAACAACGAACAGCUUUAUCUAAUUUUCCUUUCUUGUCUUUUCUUUUCUUUUUUUUUUCACAGAGCAGCUUUGAUUCCGAACGGUGCACGAAUUUUAUUGUUUUGGCUUCAUGUAGUUAAGUCAUUAGUGAACUUCUUUAAGAAAAUACAGCGGCAAUCUUUGUUUUUGGUACGAUAUAUAUAGUGGCAAUCAUUGGUAUGGAUCUUAGAUUUCUUGUCUGGGAAUCUUAUGUCCCGCAAAGUUAACAAUAUGUGUUAGUUUCAGGAUAAUAUAUAAUCUAGAAUAGUAUCUUAUUUACAUGAUUAAUGUUGGUUAUGCUUUCAGCUACUCCUCUUAAUCUCACUUCAAGUGAGUUAAUUAUUCUUGAUUAGGUAUAUAGUUUUACUCAAAUGGGAGCCUUUCAAUCUUUUCUUGCAAUGUUUCAAGGAAUGGGCUUUUAGGUUCAGAACAGAGCUCAUGUUGAUAGAGGCAAGUUGCUCUAUGUGAUGAAAUCAGAGAGAAUUUGAGAUGAAAAUGAGGAUUCAAAGUGUUGAAAGUUUGGUGCUCUGAUAUGUGUUUUCUUCUCUUUUUUUUUAAAAAAAAAAAGAUACAUGAUAUAAUUUAAACAAAUAAAACAUUUUGAAACUAGCAUCCAAAUACAUAAGAUAUAAUUUAGAAACUUUAUAUCCGAAUGUAAGUUCUUAAGACUGGGUGAAUAAUUAUCUAAGACCAGAAUUUGUUUGUCCCAGAACAUAUAGUCUAAGUUUCAACAAAAUAAUACUCUACUAUAAACUUAUCCCUUUUCAUAAUUGGUUCUUUUUCAUGAGCCUUCAUAUAACAAGCCCUGUCAAUUAGGGAGUCAUUAUUGUUUAAAAAAAUCAAUAUCUAUUUGACUAUUUGUCUAGAUUGGACUUUCUUUCUUCAGUCCUUGUUUUCUGUUUCUCCCAGUUCAAUAAUUUGCAUUUACUAUAUUAUACUGAAGUUGCAUUUGGUGCCCUUAUUAGUGACGACAAAAGUGAGAGUUAACACAUCAUCUUUCAAUCAUCAAAAGUCAAAACAAGUCCGGUUCAAUUUGCUACGAAUAACCAAAUACUAAUUUGGAAACAUCCAGCUCCCUCCAUGGCUUCCUCCACCUCUAACUCUAUAUAUAUAUAGCUGCUUGGGAUCUUCUUUCUCCCAAUCAUUUCUAGCAGUAGCAGUUGCAACUUCAGAGGAAAAGUUUAUAUUUGCUUUUACUUUAUUUUGGACAGAUUUAUAUUUGCUGGUAAGUAUUUGACGGUGGAAAAGUGUUAGACUUUGGUAUUCUUGAGCAGGUACAUUACUUUAUUGGACUGGUUUUAUACGUUCACAU
This 2206-nucleotide long non-coding RNA is filed under the name Coffea arabica (coffee). Its description in RNAcentral is "long non-coding RNA (CARA_LNC004221)". Lineage: Eukaryota; Viridiplantae; Streptophyta; Magnoliopsida; Gentianales; Rubiaceae. The record is from RNAcentral.